GCUGGGCGUGGUAGCUCAUGCCUGUAAUCCCAACACUUUGGGAGGCUGAGGCAGGUGGAUCACCUGAGGUCAGGAGUUUGAGACCAGCCUGGCCAACAUGGUGAAACCCUGUCUCUA
Molecule: unclassified non-coding RNA, 117 nt
Organism: Pongo abelii (Sumatran orangutan)
Lineage: Eukaryota; Metazoa; Chordata; Mammalia; Primates; Hominidae
Rfam family: Metazoan signal recognition particle RNA
About the family: The signal recognition particle (SRP) is a universally conserved ribonucleoprotein. It is involved in the co-translational targeting of proteins to membranes.
Source: Ensembl